ACGGACUGGAGAUCUGGGUCACCUCCCACCCGUGUUUAUUUACCUUAUUGCUUCGGCGGGCCCGCCUUCACUGGCCGCCGGGGGGCUCACGCCCCCGGGCCCGCGCCCGCCGAAGACACCCCGAACUCUGUCUGAAGAAUGAAGUCUGAGUGAAAAUAUAAAUUAUUUAAAACUUUCAACAACGGAUCUCUUGGUUCCGGCAUCGAUGAAGAACGCAGCGAAAUGCGAUACGUAAUGUGAAUUGCAAAUUCAGUGAAUCAUCGAGUCUUUGAACGCACAUUGCGCCCCCUGGUAUUCCGGGGGGCAUGCCUGUCCGAGCGUCAUUGCUGCCCUCAAGCCCGGCUUGUGUGUUGGGCCUCGUCCUCCGAUUCCGGGGGACGGGCCCGAAAGGCAGCGGCGGCACCGCGUCCGGUCCUCGAGCGUAUGGGGCUCUGUCACCCGCUCUGUAGGCCCGGCCGGCGCUUGCCGAUCAACCCAAAUUUUUAUCCAGGUUGACCUCGGAUCAGGUAGGGAUACCCGCUGAAC
Molecule: ribosomal RNA, 525 nt
Filed under: Penicillium paneum
Lineage: Eukaryota; Fungi; Ascomycota; Eurotiomycetes; Eurotiales; Aspergillaceae
Description: eukaryotic LSU rRNA
Rfam family: 5.8S ribosomal RNA (bases 171-323)
Source: RNAcentral